UACGUAGGGGGCUAGCGUUGUCCGGAAUCAUUGGGCGUAAAGCGCGUGUAGGCGGUCCGGUAAGUCCGCUGUGAAAGUCGGGGGCUCAACCCUCGAAUGCCGGUGGAUACUGUCGGGCUAGAGUACGGAAGAGGCGAGUGGAAUUCCUGGUGUAGCGGUGAAAUGCGCAGAUAUCAGGAGGAACACCAAUUGCGAAGGCAGCUCGCUGGGACGUUACUGACGCUGAGACACGAAAGCCAGGGGAGCGAACGGG
Molecule: ribosomal RNA, 253 nt
Filed under: uncultured bacterium
Lineage: Bacteria
Description: partial 16S ribosomal RNA
Rfam family: Bacterial small subunit ribosomal RNA
Source: RNAcentral